RNAcentral lists this ribosomal RNA (450 nucleotides) under uncultured bacterium. Its description in RNAcentral is "partial 16S ribosomal RNA". It matches the Rfam family "Bacterial small subunit ribosomal RNA", at positions 338 to 795 of the family's 1533-position model. The record is from RNAcentral.
CCUACGGGGGGCUGCAGUGGGGAAUAUUGGACAAUGGGCGCAAGCCUGAUCCAGCAAUGCCGCGUGUGUGAAGAAGGCCUGCGGGUUGUAAAGCACUUUGAGUGGGGAAGAAGGCCUGGGGGUUAAUAGCUUCUGGGAUUGACGUUACCCACAGAACAAGCACCGGCUAACUCCGUGCCAGCAGCCGCGGUAAUACGGAGGGUGCGAGCGUUAAGUGGAAUUAGCGGGGGUAAAUCGAGCGUUGGGGGUUGAAAGCCCUGGGCUUAACCUGGGAACUGCAUUGGAUACUGUUUGACUGGAGUGUGGUAGAGGGGUGUGGAAUUUCCGGUGUAGCAGUGAAAUGCGUAGAGAUCGGAAGGAACACCAGUGGCGAAGGCGGCACCCUGGACCGACACUGACGCUGAGGUGCGAAAGCGUGGGGAGCAAACAGGAUUAGAUACCCGGGUAGUC